This 497-nucleotide ribosomal RNA is filed under the name uncultured bacterium. RNAcentral describes it as "partial 16S ribosomal RNA". It matches the Rfam family "Bacterial small subunit ribosomal RNA", at positions 28 to 507 of the family's 1533-position model. The record is from RNAcentral.
GAUGAACGCUGGCGGCGUGCCUAAUACAUGCAAGUCGAGCGAACAGACGAGGAGCUUGCUCCUCUGACGUUAGCGGCGGACGGGUGAGUAACACGUGGAUAACCUACCUAUAAGACUGGGAUAACUUCGGGAAACCGGAGCUAAUACCGGAUAAUCUAUUGAACCGCAUGGUUCAAUAGUGAAAGACGGUUUUGCUGUCACUUAUAGAUGGAUCCGCGCCGCAUUAGCUAGUUGGUAAGGUAACGGCUUAUCAAGGCAACGAUGCGUAGCCGACCUGAGAGGGUGAUCGGCCACACUGGAACUGAGACACGGUCCAGACUCCUACGGGAGGCAGCAGUAGGGAAUCUUCCGCAAUGGGCGAAAGCCUGACGGAGCAACGCCGCGUGAGUGAUGAAGGUCUUCGGAUCGUAAAACUCUGUUAUUAGGGAAGAACAAAUGUGUAAGUAACUAUGCACGUCUUGACGGUACCUAAUCAGAAAGCCACGGCUAACUACGUG